UACAGAGGGUGCAAACGUUGUUCGGAAUUACUGGGCGUAAAGCGUGUGUAGGCGGUUCCAUAAGUCGGGCGUGAAAGCCCCGGGCUCAACCCGGGAAGAGCACUCGAUACUGUGGGACUAGAGUUUCGGAGAGGUUGGUAGAAUUCUUGGUGUAGAGGUGAAAUUCGUAGAUAUCAAGAGGAAUACCGGUGGCGAAGGCGGCCAACUGGACGAAAACUGACGCUGAGACACGAAAGCAUGGGGAGCAAACAGG
Molecule: ribosomal RNA, 253 nt
Filed under: uncultured bacterium
Lineage: Bacteria
Description: partial 16S ribosomal RNA
Rfam family: Bacterial small subunit ribosomal RNA
Source: RNAcentral